AGAGUUUGAUCAUGGCUCAGAAUGAACGCUGGCGGCGCGCCUAAUACAUGCAAGUCGAGCGAGAAGACGUAGCAAUACGUUUGUAAAGCGGCGAACGGGUGAGGAAUACAUGGGUAACCUACCCUCGAGUGGGGAAUAACUAGCCGAAAGGUUAGCUAAUACCGCGUACGCUUCUUGGACUUCGGUUCAGGGAGGAAAGCGAUACCGUGGGUAUCGCGCUCUUGGAUGGGCUCAUGUCCUAUCAGCUUGUUGGUGAGGUAACGGCUCACCAAGGCUUCGACGGGUAGCUGGUCUGAGAGGACGAUCAGCCACACUGGCACUGCGACACGGGCCAGACUCCUACGGGAGGCAGCAGUAAGGAAUAUUGCGCAAUGGGCGAAAGCCUGACGCAGCGACGCCGCGUGGGGGAUGAAGGUCUUCGGAUUGUAAACCCCUUUCGGGAGGGAAGAUGGAAUGGGGUAACCCAUUCGGACGGUACCUCCAGAAGCAGCCACGGCUAACUUCGUGCCAGCAGCCGCGGUAAUACGAAGGUGGCAAGCGUUAUUCGGAUUUACUGGGCGUACAGGGAGCGUAGGCGGUUCGGUAAGCCCUCUGUGAAAUCUUCAGGCUUAACCUGGAAAAGUCGGAGGGGACUGCCGGGCUAGAGGACGGGAGAGGAGCGCGGAAUUCCCGGUGUAGCGGUGAAAUGCGUAGAGAUCGGGAGGAAGGCCGGUGGCGAANNGGCGCUCUGGAACGUUUCUGACGCUGAGGCUCGAAAGCGUGGGGAGCAAACAGGAUUAGAUACCCUAGUAGUCC
This 795-nucleotide ribosomal RNA is filed under the name uncultured bacterium. RNAcentral's name for it is "bacterial SSU rRNA". It matches the Rfam family "Bacterial small subunit ribosomal RNA", at positions 8 to 796 of the family's 1533-position model. The record is from RNAcentral.